GACGAACGCUGGCGGCGUGCUUAACACAUGCAAGUCGAACGGAAAGGCCCUGCUUUUGUGGGGUGCUCGAGUGGCGAACGGGUGAGUAACACGUGAGUAACCUGUCCUUGACUUUGGGAUAACUUCAGGAAACUGGGGCUAAUACCGGAUAGGAGCUCCUGCUGCAUGGUGGGGGUUGGAAAGUUUCGGCGGUUGGGGAUGGACUCGCGGCUUAUCAGCUUGUUGGUGGGGUAGUGGCUUACCAAGGCUUUGACGGGUAGCCGGCCUGAGAGGGUGACCGGCCACAUUGGGACUGAGAUACGGCCCAGACUCCUACGGGAGGCAGCAGUGGGGAAUAUUGCACAAUGGGCGGAAGCCUGAUGCAGCAACGCCGCGUGCGGGAUGACGGCCUUCGGGUGGUAAACCGCUUUCGCCUGUGACGAAGCGUGAGUGACGGUAAUGGGGAAAGAAGCACCGGCUAACUACGU
Molecule: ribosomal RNA, 467 nt
Filed under: uncultured bacterium
Lineage: Bacteria
Description: partial 16S ribosomal RNA
Rfam family: Bacterial small subunit ribosomal RNA
Source: RNAcentral